This 572-nucleotide ribosomal RNA is filed under the name uncultured bacterium. Its description in RNAcentral is "bacterial SSU rRNA". It matches the Rfam family "Bacterial small subunit ribosomal RNA", at positions 8 to 572 of the family's 1533-position model. The record is from RNAcentral.
AGAGUUUGAUCCUGGCUCAGAUUGAACGCUGGCGGCAUGCCUUACACAUGCAAGUCGAACGGCUGCACGGGAGUAAUCCUGGUGGCGAGUGGCGAACGGGUGAGUAACAUAUCGGAACGUGCCCAGUCGUGGGGGAUAACGCAGCGAAAGCUGUGCUAAUACCGCAUACGAUCUCUGGAUGAAAGCGGGGGACUCUGCAAAGAGCCUCGCGCGAUUGGAGCGGCCGAUAUCAGAUUAGCUAGUUGGUGGGGUAAAAGCCCACCAAGGCGACGAUCUGUAGCUGGUCUGAGAGGACGACCAGCCACACUGGAACUGAGACACGGUCCAGACUCCUACGGGAGGCAGCAGUGGGGAAUUUUGGACAAUGGGCGAAAGCCUGAUCCAGCAGUGCCGCGUGCAGGAUGAAGGCCUUCGGGUUGUAAACUGCUUUUGUACGGAACGAAACGGUUCACUCUAAUACGGUGGGCUAAUGACGGUACCGUAAGAAUAAGCACCGGCUAACUACGUGCCAGCAGCCGCGGUAAUACGUAGGGUGCGAGCGUUAAUCGGAAUUACUGGGCGUAAGCGUGCGC